Molecule: ribosomal RNA, 454 nt
Filed under: Staphylococcus aureus
Lineage: Bacteria; Bacillati; Bacillota; Bacilli; Caryophanales; Staphylococcaceae
Description: partial 23S ribosomal RNA
Rfam family: Bacterial large subunit ribosomal RNA
Source: RNAcentral
UCAACGGAUAAAAGCUACCCCGGGGAUAACAGGCUUAUCUCCCCCAAGAGUUCACAUCGACGGGGAGGUUUGGCACCUCGAUGUCGGCUCAUCGCAUCCUGGGGCUGUAGUCGGUCCCAAGGGUUGGGCUGUUCGCCCAUUAAAGCGGUACGCGAGCUGGGUUCAGAACGUCGUGAGACAGUUCGGUCCCUAUCCGUCGUGGGCGUAGGAAAUUUGAGAGGAGCUGUCCUUAGUACGAGAGGACCGGGAUGGACAUACCUCUGGUGUACCAGUUGUCGUGCCAACGGCAUAGCUGGGUAGCUAUGUGUGGACGGGAUAAGUGCUGAAAGCAUCUAAGCAUGAAGCCCCCCUCAAGAUGAGAUUUCCCAACUUCGGUUAUAAGAUCCCUCAAAGAUGAUGAGGUUAAUAGGUUCGAGGUGGAAGCAUGGUGACAUGUGGAGCUGACGAAUACUAA